RNAcentral lists this ribosomal RNA (253 nucleotides) under uncultured bacterium. Its description in RNAcentral is "partial 16S ribosomal RNA". It matches the Rfam family "Bacterial small subunit ribosomal RNA", at positions 524 to 776 of the family's 1533-position model. The record is from RNAcentral.
GACAGAGGUCCCGAGCGUUAGGCGGAAUCACUGGGCUUAAAGCGUGUGUAGGCGGAUUUGUAAGUACCUUGUGAAAUCCCACGGCUUAACCGUGGAACUGCUGGGUAUACUGCUUAUCUUGGGCCAUCUAGGGGCGAGCGGAACAAACGGUGGAGCGGUGAAAUGCGUAGAUAUCGUUUGGAACGCCAAUGGUGAAAACAGCUCGCUGGGGAUGUGCCGACGCUGAGACACGAAAGCGUGGGGAUCAAACAGG